This is a long non-coding RNA of Galeopterus variegatus (Sunda flying lemur), 178 nucleotides long. RefSeq lists it as uncharacterized. NCBI's taxonomy places the organism in Eukaryota, Metazoa, Chordata, Mammalia, Dermoptera, Cynocephalidae. The record is from RefSeq and is a predicted model, not a curated record. The transcript has 2 exons.
GAAAAAUGUUAAGCCUUAUCCUUCAGUACAACACAAUGCCCCCAGUGCAUUAGUCCUGGUGAAAUAAGAGAGGAGAUAUUUCUGUUUCUUGCGAAGUUUUAUUUGGUGACUAUUUAGAGUCAUAAACACACAUUCCUUUUCAGACUGUAAAAGUCUGCUCCUCUAAACAACUUGUUAU